This 415-nucleotide long non-coding RNA is filed under the name Bos taurus (domestic cattle). Its description in RNAcentral is "long non-coding RNA NONBTAT021815". The record is from RNAcentral. Lineage: Eukaryota; Metazoa; Chordata; Mammalia; Artiodactyla; Bovidae.
UCCCAUCACGUUUUCCCCCCAAUAAUCUAACCAGGUUCCCAGACAUUUUGUCUUUAACACUUCUAGCAUGAAAGUAACAUAACCUGUAAUUUUUACUCUUUGUGCCUACUGAAAUUUAAUGGUUAUAAGCUAUUUGAUUAUACUGGGAUAUUCUGGUAUAUGUGACUAACUGUAAAAAAUGAACUUUACUGUUAUAAGAAAAGGGGGUAAUCAAUUUUCCUGUUAGCAUUUAAACUUUAUUAACCUAAAGUAACCAUAUUUAAAGUAAGUUCAUAACUAAAUUUUAUUCAUAAUAGAAAUAUGAAUAUUCUAAUACAUACUGAAAGACAAUAAACAUACAUUUAAAAUCUUAUUAGUAAUGUGGAAUGUCAGCCUAAUUUGCUUGACAUUUUCUAUGCUAUCUUUCUCACACUGG